Molecule: long non-coding RNA, 182 nt
Organism: Pistacia vera
Lineage: Eukaryota; Viridiplantae; Streptophyta; Magnoliopsida; Sapindales; Anacardiaceae
Exons: 3
Source: RefSeq, a predicted model, not a curated record
CGACAUGACAGCUCAUGUUGGGGAUUUCGGUCUAGCAAAGUUUCUCCCAGAAGUCUCAAAUCCAAACCAAAGCAGCUCUGUUGGCGUAAGAGGAACAAUAGGCUAUGCAGCCCCAGAGUAUGGUCUUGGAAGUGAGAUGUCGACAGAUGGGGAUGUCUACAGUUAUGGGAUCUUGUUGUUAG